CUACGGGAGGCAGCAGUGGGGAAUAUUGCACAAUGGGCGCAAGCCUGAUGCAGCCAUGCCGCGUGUAUGAAGAAGGCCUUCGGGUUGUAAAGUACUUUCAGCAGUGAGGAAGGUGGGUAUGUUAAUAGCAUAUUCAUUUGACGUUAGCUGCAGAAGAAGCACCGGCUAACUCCGUGCCAGCAGCCGCGGUAAUACGGAGGGUGCGAGCGUUAAUCGGAAUUACUGGGCGUAAAGCGCAUGCAGGUGGUUUGUUAAGUCAGAUGUGAAAGCCCGGGGCUCAACCUCGGAAUUGCAUUUGAAACUGGCAAACUAGAGUACUGUAGAGGGGGUAGAAUUUCAGGUGUAGCGGUGAAAUGCGUAGAGAUCUGAAGGAAUACCCGGUGGCGAAGGCGGCCCCCUGGACAGAUACUGACACUCAGAUGCGAAAGCGUGGGGAGCAAACAGGAUUAGAUACGCUGGUAG
RNAcentral lists this ribosomal RNA (462 nucleotides) under uncultured bacterium. RNAcentral describes it as "bacterial SSU rRNA". It matches the Rfam family "Bacterial small subunit ribosomal RNA", at positions 339 to 793 of the family's 1533-position model. The record is from RNAcentral.